GAAACCUUACGACCCUUGACAUCGUGAUCGCGAUUUCCAGAGAUGGAUUUCUUCAAUUCGGUUGGAUCACAGACAGAUGCUGCAUGGCUGUCGUCAGCUCGUGUCGUGAGAUGUUAGGUUAAGUCCUGCAACGAGCGCAACCCACGCCCUAUGUUACCAGCGGAUAAUGCCGGGGACUCUUAGGGGACUGCCGCGUCAAGCGGGAGGAAGGUGUGGAUGACGUCAAGUCAUCAUGGUUCUUACGGGUCGGGCUACAAACGUACUACAAUGGCGUUAACAAUGGGUCGCAAUACUGCAAAGUAAAGCUAAUCCUUAAAAAACGCCUCAGUUCAGAUUGUCCUCUGCAACUCGAGGGCAUGAAGCUGGAAUCGCUAGUAAUCGCUGAUCAGAAUGCAGCGGUGAAUACGUUCCCGGGUCUU
RNAcentral lists this ribosomal RNA (419 nucleotides) under uncultured Thalassospira sp. RNAcentral describes it as "bacterial SSU rRNA". It matches the Rfam family "Bacterial small subunit ribosomal RNA", at positions 965 to 1382 of the family's 1533-position model. The record is from RNAcentral. Lineage: Bacteria; Pseudomonadati; Pseudomonadota; Alphaproteobacteria; Rhodospirillales; Thalassospiraceae.